CCUACGGGAGGCAGCAGUGGGGAAUAUUGCACAAUGGGGGAAACCCUGAUGCAGCGACGCCGCGUGAGUGAAGAAGUAUCUCGGUACGUAAAGCUCUAUCAGCAGGGACGAAAAUGACGGUACCUGAGUAAGAAGCCCCGGCUAAAUACGUGCCAGCAGCCGCGGUAAUACGUAGGGAGCAAGCGUUAUCCGGAUUUACUGGGUGUAAAGGGAGCGUAGGCGGCCGCACAAGUCUGAAGUGAAAUACCGGGGCUUAACCCCGGGGCUGCAUUGGAAACUGUGCGGCUGGAGUGCAGGAGGGGCAAGCGGAAUUCCUAGUGUAGCGGUGAAAUGCGUAGAUAUUAGGAGGAACACCGGUGGCGAAGGCGGCCUACUGGACGGUAACUGACGCUGAGGCUCGAAAGCGUGGGGAGCAAACAGGAUUAGAUACCCCGGUAGUC
RNAcentral lists this ribosomal RNA (440 nucleotides) under uncultured bacterium. RNAcentral describes it as "partial 16S ribosomal RNA". It matches the Rfam family "Bacterial small subunit ribosomal RNA", at positions 338 to 795 of the family's 1533-position model. The record is from RNAcentral.